This 379-nucleotide unclassified non-coding RNA is filed under the name Bacillus sp. (in: firmicutes). RNAcentral's name for it is "Bacillus sp. (in: Bacteria) contains 16S-23S intergenic spacer region". The record is from RNAcentral. Lineage: Bacteria; Bacillati; Bacillota; Bacilli; Caryophanales; Bacillaceae.
UCCGGUUUAUCACCGGCAGUCACCUUAGAGUGCCCAACUGAAUGCUGGCAACUAAGAUCAAGGGUUGCGCUCGUUGCGGGACUUAACCCAACAUCUCACGACACGAGCUGACGACAACCAUGCACCACCUGUCACCGAUGCCCCCGAAGGGGAAACUCUGUCUCCAGAGCGGUCAUCGGGAUGUCAAGACCUGGUAAGGUUCUUCGCGUUGCUUCGAAUUAAACCACAUGCUCCACCGCUUGUGCGGGCCCCCGUCAAUUCCUUUGAGUUUCAGCCUUGCGGCCGUACUCCCCAGGCGGAGUGCUUAAUGUGUUAACGUCGGCACUAAGGGCAUCGAAACCCCUAACACCUAGCACUCAUCGUUUACGGCGUGGACUAC